Long non-coding RNA from Astatotilapia calliptera (eastern happy), 1043 nucleotides. NCBI's taxonomy places the organism in Eukaryota, Metazoa, Chordata, Actinopteri, Cichliformes, Cichlidae. The record is from Ensembl.
CAUCACCUGUCAAGGCAAACAAUUUGAUUCGGGUAAAGUAUAUCCAGUAAAUGGCAAUAUAACCACUAUAGCUCUUUCACAUUGUCCCACAAAAAGCCAGAGGGUUGGAUUUGAGAAGCAAAGUGUGCAUAGUCUUUUCACACUGUGUAAAAGCUCUAUUCUGUUGCCCCAAUGCUCUCAGCUACAGAUUUUACAGCACCACUGGAGGUUGAUGUAAAUGUUACUGGAGCUGGAGCUCUCUUGGUUCAGGAAGAAUGUCUUAAUGUCUUAUAUACUCAUAUAAAAAGUUAUCUGCUGACCAGUGUUAUAGCUAAAAUAAAUAAAUAAAAUGCAUCUAGCAUGUCAUUGUUUUGCUUAUGUGUGUGUGUUUUUGUUUUUUUGUUUUGUUUUUGCCUUUGUGUUGUAGGUACUGUCCCUGAUUCUGCAUUUCAUUUGUGCACUAUACAGCUGGUAUGAAUGUGGAAUUCAGUGAAUGAAUUUGAACAUCAUCAGCUUAACUUCAAAUUCAUCUCUGCUACCCUUUAUGUAACAAACUCUGACCAUGACUACAGCCACUGUGCGCUAGUCACACACUGUUCUUUGGUUUAAAUCCAUGCUGUUUUUGUUUGUUUUUUUGCAGCAUGUUUCACAACUUGAAAAACACAAUCGCACAUAUACAGACCCAGUAUUUAAAUACAUGAGUACUUAAAUAUAAGCUUUACAUUUCCAGUUUAUCAAACACCACUGAGCAGUCCUUACCUUUAAGUCUAACCUCUCUUCUUCCUUUCUAGUUCUGGCUUUCUUACCUUGCUCCAUGUCUAAGUAAAUUUAACUCUAUUUCUUUUCUCUCCCUGUGAAAUACAUGUCCUGACACAAAAAAAUUACACACUUAUGCUCACUCUUCUUCUGCAUGGCUAGCUAGAUGCUGAAGUACCACAACUUAUGGACACCCACAGUCAUUCCAAUGUAGUAGCAAAACAAACAAACAAAACAAAUAAAUAAAAACAUGCCCACUUUAACCUCUGACUAUGGCACACAAUUUUGCCCCUUUCAUCUGUUUUUAU